GAUGAACGCUGGCGGCGUGCUUAACACAUGCAAGUCGAACGGAAAGGCCCUAGCUUCCUUGUGUACUCGAGUGGCGAACGGGUGAGUAACACGUGGGCGAUCUGCUCUGCACUUCGGGAUAAGCCUGGGAAACUGGGUCUAAUCCCGGAUAGGACGAUGGUUUGGAUGCCAUUGUGGAAAGUUUUUUCGGUGUGGGAUGAGCUCGCGGCCUAUUAGGUUUUUGGUGGGGUAAUGGCCUACCAAGGCGUCGACGGGUAGCCGGCCUGAGAGGGUGUACGGCCACAUUGGGACUGUGAUGCGGGCCAGACUGCGACGGGGGGCAGAAGUGGGGAAUAUUGGACAAAGGGCGCAAGCCUGAGGCAAGGACGCCGCGGGGGGGAUGACGGCCUUCGGGUUGUAAACACCUUUCGCUAGGGACGAAGCGUUUUUGUGACGGUACCUAGAGAAGAAGCACCGGCUAACUACGUG
Molecule: ribosomal RNA, 468 nt
Filed under: uncultured bacterium
Lineage: Bacteria
Description: partial 16S ribosomal RNA
Rfam family: Bacterial small subunit ribosomal RNA
Source: RNAcentral